AUUGUCCACUGAAUUUAUUUGAUAAAGACAUACUGUUAGGAGCAAGCAAUAUGCACACACAAAUGUUGGUAUGUUUGCUGUUCUUCAUGUUUGAAAUUUCUGCAGGUAAGACUUCAGUUUAUUUUUCUUCAUGUCAAAGAAUGAUUUAUUUGUGAACUGGCGUAUACUAAAUUUAGUCCUGGUAUCUAUGAUGAGUUAAUAUACAUAACCUAAACAAAGAAAAGAUAAUGGUUAAUGAAAUAAGUGUUUAAUGAAUGAAUAAAAACUAAUUUAGUUAGGUUUGUGGUUUAAUAUUUUCAACGAUAUUUUGUAUUGAUGCGAGUUGAAAUAUUGUGAUGGCAUCAGCAGAGAAUUUUAUCCUUUUAAAUCUUAGAUGUGUUUCUAAAAGUGAGUUUCAUUGAUGUCAGGUGAAUUGUUAAGAAAAGAAAGUAACUUCAGAUAUAUAAACACGUCGAUUAAACAGCUGAACUAAACGUUUCCAUCUUUACCUUCCUUAAUGUAGGAUGACAUUAAUACAUAUAUAAUGUAAUGAUAGAACUCAUUAUCAAAAUAGUUAAAAAGAACUCUUAACUCAAUAGGCUUUAAACAUGACAAACACAGAAAUAGGAUCAGUUGCUCAUUUUUUCAUGUUCACAUAUUAUAUUUUCCAAUAUCAUCAACUUCAAAUUAUAUUUUCCAAUAUCAUCAACUUCAAAUUUCAGGCAUCACGGAGUUUCCAUGCAAAUUUCCCUGUGAAUGGCGCAACAAAACAUUUAAUAUCUAUAGACAUGGACGAUUAAUUUACAAAUGGAAAUUUAGUAGUGAUGGUGUAGUGUUUGUUUUCAGUCCUAUCAACAUAAAUACU
This 844-nucleotide long non-coding RNA is filed under the name Mytilus galloprovincialis (Mediterranean mussel). Lineage: Eukaryota; Metazoa; Mollusca; Bivalvia; Mytilida; Mytilidae. The record is from RNAcentral.